This 75-nucleotide transfer RNA is filed under the name Candidatus Moranbacteria bacterium RIFOXYA1_FULL_44_7. Its description in RNAcentral is "tRNA-Arg". It matches the Rfam family "tRNA". From Rfam's summary of the family: Transfer RNA (tRNA) molecules are approximately 80 nucleotides in length. Their secondary structure includes four short double-helical elements and three loops (D, anti-codon, and T loops). Further hydrogen bonds mediate the characteristic L-shaped molecular structure. tRNAs have two regions of fundamental functional importance: the anti-codon, which is responsible for specific mRNA codon recognition, and the 3' end, to which the tRNAs corresponding amino acid is attached (by aminoacyl-tRNA synthetases). tRNAs cope with the degeneracy of the genetic code in two manners: having more than one tRNA (with a specific anti-codon) for a particular amino acid; and 'wobble' base-pairing, i.e. permitting non-standard base-pairing at the 3rd anti-codon position. RNAcentral also lists the same sequence under 8 other names. The record is from RNAcentral. Lineage: Bacteria; Candidatus Moraniibacteriota.
GUCCCUGUAGUUCAACGGAUAGAACGGGAGCCUUCUAAGCUCUAGAUCGAGGUUCGAUUCCUCGCGGGGACACAA